CCACGGAAUUUAGCAGAGAUGCUUUAGUGCCUUCGGGGAACCGUGAGACAGGUGCUGCAUGGCUGUCGUCAGCUCGUGUUGUGAAAUGUUGGGUUAAGUCCCGCAACGAGCGCAACCCUUAUCCUUUGUUGCCAGCGGGUUAUGCCGGGAACUCAAAGGAGACUGCCAGUGAUAAACUGGAGGAAGGUGGGGAUGACGUCAAGUCAUCAUGGCCCUUACGAGUAGGGCUACACACGUGCUACAAUGGCGCAUACAAAGAGAAGCGACCUCGCGAGAGCAAGCGGACCUCAUAAAGUGCGUCGUAGUCCGGAUUGGAGUCUGCAACUCGACUCCAUGAAGUCGGAAUCGCUAGUAAUCGUAGAUCAGAAUGCUACGGUGAAUACGUUCCCGGGCCUUGUACACACCGCCCGUCACACCAUGGGAGUGGGUUGCAAAAGAAGUAGGUAGCUUAACCUUCGGGAGGGCGCUUACCACUUUGUGAUUCAUGACUGGGGUGAAGUCGUAACAAGGUAAGCGUAGUGCU
Molecule: ribosomal RNA, 523 nt
Filed under: uncultured bacterium
Lineage: Bacteria
Description: bacterial SSU rRNA
Rfam family: Bacterial small subunit ribosomal RNA
Source: RNAcentral